RNAcentral lists this ribosomal RNA (626 nucleotides) under Phyllosticta capitalensis. RNAcentral's name for it is "eukaryotic LSU rRNA". The stretch from base 249 to 402 matches the Rfam family "5.8S ribosomal RNA". Lineage: Eukaryota; Fungi; Ascomycota; Dothideomycetes; Botryosphaeriales; Phyllostictaceae. The record is from RNAcentral.
UUAAGGUUACUACUUAAGGCGGGGAAGAACCUUCUAUCCGAGAGGACCAUUAGUAGGAGCUACAACGCCGAAAUGACCUUCUCACCCUUGUGUACUCACUAUGUUGCUUUGGCGGGUCGACCUGGUUCCGACCCAGGCGGCCGGCGCCCCCAGCCUUAACUGGCCAGGACGCCCGGCUAAGUGCCCGCCAGUAUACAAAACUCAAGAAUUCAUUUUGUGAAGUCCUGAUAUAUCAUUUAAUUGAUUAAAACUUUCAACAACGGAUCUCUUGGUUCUGGCAUCGAUGAAGAACGCAGCGAAAUGCGAUAAGUAAUGUGAAUUGCAGAAUUCAGUGAAUCAUCGAAUCUUUGAACGCACAUUGCGCCCUCUGGUAUUCCGGAGGGCAUGCCUGUUCGAGCGUCAUUUCAACCCUCAAGCUCUGCUUGGUAUUGGGCAACGUCCGCUGCCGGACGUGCCUUGAAGACCUCGGCGACGGCGUCCUAGCCUCGAGCGUAGUAGUAAAAUAUCUCGCUUUGGAGUGCUGGGCGACGGCCGCCGGACAAUCGACCUUCGGUCUAUUUUUCCAAGGUGACCUCGGAUCAGGUAGGGAUACCCGCUGAACUUAAGCAUAUCAUACGGGGGGGGAA